ACAAAGUGGAGCAUAAAAGGAUAAGGAUUAAUUGCAUACGGAUAUCUGUAAAUAUAAUAAAUUAUAAAUAUAUUUUUAUAAAGUUCAACUUUCAUAUAUUAUUUCUAUAAAAGUUUUAAUAUUUUCAAAUAUGUUGUUGUCGUUAGAAUCUGUUAUAAAGAUAUAUUCAAUCAUAUGUUAAAUACUUAAUUCUAAUUAUUUUAUGAGAUAACUUGAUAUUUUUAUCCCUCUUAUAUUACACUAUUGUGACUUUUUUAGGUACAUAUUUGUGAUGAUAAAUUGAUAUUUUUUACUUAUUAAUUGUUAAAAUAUAAACUGUUCUCUAACGGUAACAAAUCAGAAGAAUAUACUUAAAAAUAUUAGAAUUUUUAUAGAAACAAUAUUUAAAAAUUAAAUUCUUGUAUAAAAAUAUAUUUAUAAUUCACUAUAUUUGCAUAAACCAUCCAAAAGAUAAAAUAUGAG
This 462-nucleotide long non-coding RNA is filed under the name Ananas comosus (pineapple). Its description in RNAcentral is "long non-coding RNA (ACOM_LNC020718)". Lineage: Eukaryota; Viridiplantae; Streptophyta; Magnoliopsida; Poales; Bromeliaceae. The record is from RNAcentral.